This 522-nucleotide ribosomal RNA is filed under the name uncultured bacterium. Its description in RNAcentral is "bacterial SSU rRNA". It matches the Rfam family "Bacterial small subunit ribosomal RNA", at positions 551 to 1074 of the family's 1533-position model. The record is from RNAcentral.
UUACUGGGCGUAAAGCGGGCGCAGACGGUUACUUAAGCAGGAUGUGAAAUCCCCGGGCUCAACCUGGGAACUGCGUUCUGAACUGGGUGACUAGAGUGUGUCAGAGGGAGGUAGAAUUCCACGUGUAGCAGUGAAAUGCGUAGAGAUGUGGAGGAAUACCGAUGGCGAAGGCAGCCUCCUGGGAUAACACUGACGUUCAUGCCCGAAAGCGUGGGUAGCAAACAGGAUUAGAUACCCUGGUAGUCCACGCUGUAAACGAUGUCGAUUUGGGGGUUGAGCUUUGAGCUUGGCGCCCGUAGCUAACGUGAUAAAUCGACCGCCUGGGGAGUACGGCCGCAAGGUUAAAACUCAAAUGAAUUGACGGGGGCCCGCACAAGCGGUGGAUGAUGUGGAUUAAUUCGAUGCAACGCGAAGAACCUUACCUGGUCUUGACAUGUACGGAACCCUCCAGAGACGGAGGGGUGCCUUCGGGAGCCGUAACACAGGUGCUGCAUGGCUGUCGUCAGCUCGUGUCGUGAGAAG